Molecule: non-coding RNA, 82 nt
Organism: Doryrhamphus excisus (bluestripe pipefish)
Lineage: Eukaryota; Metazoa; Chordata; Actinopteri; Syngnathiformes; Syngnathidae
Source: the annotation of a RefSeq genome assembly
GCUGUGAUGGCCGAGAGGUUAAGGCCUUGGACUCCAGAUCCAAUGGGGUCUUCCCGUGCGGGUUCCAACCCUGCUCACAGCG